This 508-nucleotide ribosomal RNA is filed under the name uncultured bacterium. RNAcentral's name for it is "bacterial SSU rRNA". It matches the Rfam family "Bacterial small subunit ribosomal RNA", at positions 791 to 1300 of the family's 1533-position model. The record is from RNAcentral.
UAGUCCACGCCGUAAACGAUGAUAACUAGCUGUCCGGUCUCAUAGAGACUGGGUGGCGCAGCUAACGCAUUAAGUUAUCCGCCUGGGGAGUACGGUCGCAAGAUUAAAACUCAAAGGAAUUGACGGGGGCCUGCACAAGCGGUGGAGCGUGUGGUUUAAUUCGAAGCAACGCGCAGAACCUUACCAGCCUUUGACAUCCCGGGAACUUUCCAGAGAUGGAUUGGUGCCUUCGGGAACACGGAGACAGGUGGUGCAUGGCUGUCGUCAGCUCGUGUCGUGAGAUGUUGGGUUAAGUCCCGCAACGAGCGCAACCCUCGUCCUUAGUUGCCAUCAUUAAGUUGGGCACUCUAGGGAGACUGCCGGGGACAACUCGGAGGAAGGUAAGGAUGACGUCAAGUCAGCAUGCCCCUUACGCUCUGGGCUACACACGUGCUACAAUGGUCGUGACAAAGAGUUGCUAGUCUGCGAAGGCAAGCCAAUCUCAUAAACGCGGCCUUAGUUCGGAUUG